Molecule: long non-coding RNA, 285 nt
Organism: Silurus meridionalis
Lineage: Eukaryota; Metazoa; Chordata; Actinopteri; Siluriformes; Siluridae
Exons: 3
Source: RefSeq, a predicted model, not a curated record
UUUUUCAGCACUUCAUAAGAAAAAGAUGAGGUGUAGUCACAUCAGUUCUGACAUCAGGGAGGAGCUUCAUGAACUCUAAUCAUGUUAACUGGUUAGAGCACAGAAUAUCUUCAUUCAGCUAAAACCAUUCAUCAUGUUCACUGUUAUAUUCAUGUACCUGUGGCUUUCUGUAGGUGACUCCAUGGCAGAUUCAAUAGAGCCACUUUUAACUGACAAACAUGUAGAUGAAGGUGAAAAUGUUACUCUGUCCUGCAACUACAAAACAAGUGCAACAAACAACUACCU